RNAcentral lists this ribosomal RNA (446 nucleotides) under uncultured bacterium. RNAcentral's name for it is "partial 16S ribosomal RNA". It matches the Rfam family "Bacterial small subunit ribosomal RNA", at positions 338 to 795 of the family's 1533-position model. The record is from RNAcentral.
CCUACGGGGGACAGCAGUCGAGAAUCAUUCACAAUGGGGGAAACCCUGAUGGUGCGACGCCGCGUGGGGGAAUGAAGGUCUUCGGAUUGUAAACCCCUGUCAUGUGGGAGCAAAUUAAAAAGAUAGUACCACAAGAGGAAGAGACGGCUAACUCUGUGCCAGCAGCCGCGGUAAUACAGAGGUCUCAAGCGUUGUUCGGAACCACUGGGCGUAAAGCGUGCGUAGGCUGUUUCGUAAGUCGUGUGUGAAAGGCGCGGGCUCAACCCGCGGACGGCACAUGAUACUGCGAGACUAGAGUAAGGGAGGGGGAACCGGAAUUCUCGGUGUAGCAGUGAAAUGCGUAGAUAGCGAGAGGAACACUCGUGGCGAAGGCGGGUUCCUGGACAUUAACUGACGCUGAGGCACGAAGGCCAGGGGAGCGAAAGGGAUUAGAUACCCCAGUAGUC